AUAAAAAUUAAUUAUUAAUUCAAUUUGAAUUGAUUUUGUAAUAAAAGCGUGCAUUUUCUGAGUUAAUCUAAAAUUCGUUCAAAACAAGCCAUAUUGGCAACCUUGUAUAACAGCAAGCGCUCUGUUUUACGGAAAAAAACAAAUCACAGCGGGUUUCUGCGGGUCAAGUAUAAAAGAAAAACAAAAAAACAUCGGCAAGCGGUGGUAACUUCUCAUUUUCAUAUGAUAUUUUGAGAAUUUUGAGAUAGCUGAGUCAUUAUGUUGAUGAGUAGUUGUAGCAUAAAUAUAGCCGUCCUUUUCUCAUAAUUCUGUUAACAAGUCAAAAAAUAAUAAAAUGUUCGACACGUCUUGUGUUUGUAUGCGUAUCUAUAAAUUUUGGCGUACUCUUUUAUUUUGUUUUUCACUUUUAUUUUGUUUUUCACUUCGAACUGAUUGUAGCUGUCUUAAAAAUUUCGGACGAAUAAAAGCCCUAAAAUUGUAAAUUGAAAAAUAUUGUAAGCGUAUGGCAACUCUUGAUAUGAGCGAAACGGGUGAGAAAGGGUAGUAGAGUAACUGAAGGCGUACAAUACAGUCGGUGAAACUUGUAUUUUUGUAAUAUUGGUUAAUUAAAUGAAUAAAGUGAAUUAAAUGAAUAAAUAACUGAAUUGUUAGAUAUAAAUUUUGUGUGUGUAUCUUCUUAUUUCACGGCCAACCUGACAUUUCAGAAGUAAAAUCUGCCACGCAGACGUAUGCUAAGCUUUGUUGUUGGCGUUCUAAGAACUUCGCAAAUAAACGAAAACGAAUAGAAACAUCAAGUAACGAAAUAACAUCAACGAGUGAAGUAUUGUAGUCAAGCAAAAAAAAAAAAGAAACGAAGUUACAGCGAAUUCUUAUUGUUACGAAAUUGAAAGCAAAAAUGCAAUAAGAAAAUCAAAAUGCCGGUUGUAAAGAUAAAUACAUUAAAAUUAACAGACUUAAAAGAAAUUCUAAGCGAAAGAGGGCUUUCUACAGAAGGUUUUAAAAAUAAAUUGGUGUUACGAUUAAGUGAAGCUGUCGGUUCGGACGGUAUCGAAAUAGCCAACGUAAAUUUACAAGCCCAGAUAACUGAACUGCGUGAUAUGUUUAGUUCUGUUUUACAAAUGUUGCAAACUAAUAAUAAUGUCAGUGAACUGAACGAGCGUGGGGGGCAAGAGCGUAUAAGCACUCCAGCUGACAGUUCGCCUACAAUUCAUGGACGUAGUAACUAUUCCGUGAAGGAAAUCGCUGAAACUAUUCCGGACUUCGAUCCAACAAACGAUUCAUCUAUAUCAGUUGAACAGUUCGUAGAUCGUGUAAGUAGUGCUAUUGAAGCCUAUCAAUGGGAAGAAAAAUGUGGUUUACUAGCGGUGUAUAGUCCACUUAAAGGAGCCGCAAAGCUCUGGGUAAAUUCCACGGAAAAUAAGUAUAUCGAAAUCGUUAUGUGAAGAAUUCAGUUGUCGGCCAGAUGGAGCUGAUAUAUAUUGUAAAAUGUCUCAAACUGUGCGUAAAAUUAACGAGAGUCUACUAGACUAUUGUUUUAGAAUUGGGGCUUUAGGUAAAAGAUUUGGGUUAAGUGAAACGGCUGUAGUGAAGUGCGCAAGAGAUGGACUUAUGCAGCGUGAACUGCAGACUGCUAUUGCAACAAAUCGGUACCGGUUCAAUGCGCGAGCUACGACAAACAAUAAUUGAUUACUCUAAAAAUUUGCCGGUACGUACAUUUGAACCAGAAAAAACCAAUCGCGAAUAUUGAAAUUAAUUCUAGUGAGAAGCUUGACAGUGAGAGGCAAAUUAUUUGUUAUAAUUGUCAACAAAAGGGGCACAUAUCGUCGAAGUGUCCUCAACCACAUGCGUUGACUGUCAAAAAAAUGCAUCCUAAAGGUGUAGCUGAAAAUUGUGGAAAGAAAAACCCAAUUACGCGUUCUACAAAAAGAAAGUAAUCGCUGAUAUGUUAAAAGAACUACUUGACAAUGACAUUAUAUGUAAAUCAGAGUCCGAAUAUGCUAGUCCUAUACUUUUGGUUAAAAAGAAAAACGGUGGCGAAGGGUUGCGUGUGGAUUUUCGAAGGUUAAAUCAACAAAUGCGGAAAGAAAUAUUUCCAUCGCCAAAUAUAGAAGAAGAACUACAGCGUGCUAAAAGUUUUAAAUAUUUUUCGGUACUAGAUCUUAACAGUGGCUACUAUCAAAUUCCAAUCGAGGAAAGCAGCCGAAAGUAUACCGCGUUUAUUACGACUGAGGGUUUAUAUGGGUUUAAGCGCAUGCCGUUUGGGCUUAAAAAUGCCCCGGCCGUUUUUCAACGUCUCAUCGUCAAAAUUAAAGAUAGUGUGAAACCAAACGAUAUGACCGGUAAUUACUGCUUAUAAUGUCGAGAAAGAACAUCAAGUACAUACGGACGCAAGUACAAUCGGCUUAGCAGGCGCGUUAAUGCAAAAAGAAGGUGACUGGAAACCAGUUGCUUAUUACAGUCGUGCAACUACAGACAAUAAAAAUUAAUUUCAUAGCUACGAGCUUGAAGCUCUAGCUGUGGUUGAAUCAAUUGAACGGUUGCAAAUAUUAUAUUUAUGGCAAACGUGUAAAAGUCCUCACAGACUGUAACGCAUUAAAACAGUUAUGAACAAACGUGAGCUUGUGCAUCGUAUAGCUAGGUGGUGGCUCCGUGUUCAAGAGUACCACCUUGAAAUCGAACAUCGUGCUGGUCUGCGAAUGGCUCACGUUGACGCACUAAGUCGUGCUCCUGUUGAGGGGACGCGUGAAUUAGAAAAGGCUUCUCUACGGAUCGACAAAAUUCAAGUCAAUACCGAUGAUUGGUUAUUCGGUAUACAACUCCAGAAUAAUUCAACCAAAGAAUUGGUCAACAAACUACAAACAGGUGAUACUGCGAUAAAAAGAACAAGAAAAUAUUUAUCUAACAGUAUACCUGCUACAUAUUAUGCUAAAAGAUAUAUAAGCAGCGACAUCACUAUCAACAGCAUAAAGAUCAGCGGAAAGCACAACGGACGGCCAAAAUGUAUGAGUACUUAUUAAACAUAUAACUACUUUUUUUUGGCAAAACAGGCAAGUAAAAAAUUAUAGCUUGAGCAGCAAUUCUACGAACAGCGGCGCCAAAUCUUUUCAAAAACAAUCCUCUUUCGACCUACUCUCAAGGCCACAAGUUUUAAUUAAAUCACAAGUCAACAGCCGAAUAAUCUUCUAUGCACAGAUCAUUUACUUUGUAAAAACAACGAUUUUUAUUAAAUCGGCGAAGGACCUGCAACGAGCAAUGUAAGAGUUGGAAAUAAUAUAAUCGAAUGCUAUAUUCGUGGAUCUCGGCUUGGAGUGUGGUUUAUAUCACACAAACAACAUUUUAUCGACACCAUCAUACGUUUCUUCUCAUCGUCUAAUCGACUUGGUUUACAUAAAGACAAGGAAAGUAAUGAAAGUGAAAGGAAAAAAAAACAAAUAACUUGAAAGGAAUUACGAUAUAUAAUAUAAUAUAUAAGUAAUAUAGCAAUAACGAGUAGUGUCCUGUUAUUCUAAAUUAUUUAAGUAUUACAAAAAUAUUUGUUAUUUAUUUCUAUUUAACCACUGAUAUUCAGUGAGCCUCAACACUUCUUGGAACAACGUUUUAGCUUUCUCCAAAUAUCAACAUGAGUUUGACGGUAUUAUUUGAACUGAUUGAUUUAUUAAGUGAAAUCUGGUUGGAUGCUAUAAUGCAAGUUAAAAAUAGCUUUCCCAUCAAUUUUAGAUUUUGGCUCUGUGCUUGUUAACACAUUGGACUUUCCAAUCUUUCUUCCAACAAGUGCGCGAAAUGAUAGAUUUUCAUUGGCGGAGUAACUUUGCAUGCUAUGAAGUAUUUCAUCCUCUGAGAAGUGUUUCUUUUUGUGAGAAGUAUUUUUUUUUCUUAAGGCAGCCAUACACCACAUACAAGUGUUUUCGAUCGGUAUGUGUGCGGAUGAGAUUUACUUGUGUAUAGGAUUGGCGAAAAUGUUCGAUAUUUUGCGAUCGGUGUGCACCCAUGAUUGUUAUAUGUGGUGCCGUGUGUACACAGAAACACAUUUUAUUCGUGUCAUCGAACAGUAAACAUCGCGGAAGAACACGGCAAGCGUGAAUAUAUAGUAAAGUAAGCGAGAAGUGCCAGUUACUCUUGAAUGAAUGAACGUAAAAUGAAUUGGUAUGUCGUGUGUGGUGAAAAGAUUUCAUACCAAUCGAAAACAAUUGUAUGUCGUGUAUGGAGUAGUAGGGGAAUAUUAUUUCGGCACCUUAAAUGGAUUAGAGCGUUUAUACUUAUUACGCCUUUACAUGGCAGGAAACUUGUUAUCCCACUAAUUUUUUUCCUCAGUUUAACGUUACUUUAUCACCAGCCAUCUAACUUAGUAUUUAUAUAGUCAACACUAAUUAUUUUUUUUGCACUCCUGCCCUCUGAGAACACUCAACAGAAAUUCGGUAUAUGGUUACUGCAGACGAAACUUUUAGCUUUCGGUUGUUAUGCUCUCUAUAAUGCUAGCGUCAUUGUUAGUUGUUUGAGCGAUCCAUGUUUUCGCUUUUGUAUUUAGGUUUCCCCCUAUGAGUACCCUUUUGUGUAUUGUCUGAUGCUGGUGAAUAAUUUAUCAGCUUCGCUUCUGAUCUUUGUAGUUGUUGCGUAGAGCGGACAGUAUACGUUGAUAAUUGAUAUUUCUUUUAAAUUAAGUAUUGGGUUGAUUGAUUGUUUGCAAUAUUUGAUGCUAAUUUGAAGAUUGAGAAUUUAAUGGAAUUUUCAAUAUGAACUCGCACUGCGCCGGAUCCGUCAUGACUAUUUGCAAAAGUAUAGCUUUAGUUUUGAAGGCUUGUUUUUUGGUGCUUUUUAGUCAUGUUUCUGAUAGAAUAGCAAUAUCUGUAUCAUUGUUGUGCAUAAAAAUUUCUAAUAGUUCCUUAUAUCCUUGCUUCCUUAUUAUAACAUUUAUAUUGUUGCUAAUUAAUUUUCAAUAAUCCUGCAUUGACUGUCAUUUGUUGUAAUGUAUUUUGCAUAACUACUAAUGCUUCGUAUAAAUAUUUAUUAUUAUUAUCUGUGGUGCCUUGCGUUAAGCAAUUGCAAUAGUUUGAUUUAUUUUCAUUGUGCAAUCGUCUUGUUUUUGUACGAAUCUUUCCAAGCUGGUUAGGUAGGCCAAGACAUAUUUUGAUUAAAUCACCAAGAAGUCGAUGCAACAACGUAACGAAACGCAUGAACUUCGAAAUGUCUGAUCUGCAUUCUCGUCGUAGUUUAAGAUCUCAAGUCUGUUGCCAAAAAUACUGCUACAAUUUUGCCUUUUGCUUUCAUUGGGGUUAGGUUAUCCAAAGUCAUGACAAGCUUAUGUUAAGAAUACAACUAAAUGCAUGUGUCUCGAAAUUCAUUAAUUUAUACUAAAUACACAAUUUAUAUUAACCACGGAACACUAUUCACAUCAAGUAAAGUUAGGUGAGAAUCUUUCUGUUUUUAUUAAUUACGCUUGUACCUGGACAUUGAAUGCUGACAACAGUAUUGUCUUUAGCCAGGUAAAACUCAGGGUCGUUCCUAUAAAAACACGCGUCUGCAGCGGAGCUAUUGGAGUUUUAGUCACCUCUAACCCGCAGUCGUUGCUUGAAUAUUUAUAAAAUAACUCCCCUCCUCCUUUGUAUUAAAAUGUCGUUGUGUGAAUGGAAUGUCCAACUAGCACUGCUGAUUGACGUUUAUGAGUUGAUUCGAUCUUGUUUCCUCCGUAUUGUUGCAUUCACCUAAAGAUAAAUCAUGCUUUCAUUGGUGAAAAAUGAAAGCAUUUAGUGACUUCGAAGCAAUACUUUACCCUUGAUUGUGGAAUGGCCAUCGCAUUGGCGGAAGCUAAAGUUAAGAAACUCCUUCAUUUCCUUUGAUAUUCAACUCCUCUAAUCGCCUCAUAAAUUUGAAGCGAUCGUUCUUCAAAAAUUCUGACAAUUUCGCCCCUUCUAUUUUUAUUUAAUGAAAAAAAUUCGUAAGGUCGAUUACAUAAACUUGGUUUCCUCGAACAAAUGAUCGAUCAAUAGAUAAUGAGGCUAAAUUCAAAAUCUGUAUUGUAUAAUUAUUCAUCGAAUAUACUACUAACUGAUUGAGCUAUCCACAAGACAGCACACGCUAAAUGCAUGUGUCUCGAAGUUCAUUAAUUUAUACUAAAUGCACAAUUUAUAUUAACCACGGAACACUAUUCACAUCAGCUAAUAUUAGGUGAGAAUCCUUCUGUUUUUAUUAAAUACGCCUGUACCUGGACAUUGAAUGCUGACAACGGUGUUGUCUUUAGCCAGAUAAAACUCAGGGUCGUUCAUACAAAUCCACCCGUCUGCUGCGGUGCUAUUGGAGUUUUAGUCACCUCUAUCCCCCAGUCGUUGCUUGAAUAUUUAUAAAAUAACUCCCCUCCUCCUUUGUAUUCAAAUGUCGUUGUGUGAAUGGAAGUUCAACUAGCCCUGCUGAUUGACGUUUAUGAGUUGAUUCGAUCUUGUUUCAUUCAUUUCAUUGGUGAAAAAUGAAAGCAUUUAGUGACUUCGAAGCAAUACUUUACCCUUGAUUGUGGAAUGGCCAUCGCAUUGGCGGAAGCUAAAGUUAAGAAACUCCUUCCUUUUCCUUUGAUAUUGAACUCAUCUAAUCACCUCAUAAAUUUGAAGCGAUCGUUCUUCAAAAAUUCUGACAAUUUCGCCCCUUUUAUUUUUAUUUAAUGAAAUAUGCCAGCGUUUAACGAACAAGCCGCAGCGCCUGUAAUAAAGAAAAUAAAAUGUCUUUAUUCUCGAAGUUUCGAAAGUGAUCUACUUACGUACCUCGUGGAAAAUCCAAUUCAAUAUUUAAGAUGACAGCAGUCAAAAUAUAUCCACACAUGUCGGCAAACAAUGUUGCCUACAAACAUUAAAAUUUUUGUACGCAAACCUUGACCUCGGUACAUAACAAGGUGUUCAGACGCAACUAAAGUGGCGUAAACUUAUAUCGUUGUAUGAAGUUAAGACAGCUCAAAUACAUGCAUUUGCUUAAUUAUAUAAAUUAUCUUUUCUACUCAAUAAUUAAAACAUUUUCAUUCUGCGACUGAACUGCCAGUGGUGUGUGUAGCUCACAUCACUAGAAAGUUCAAUAUGAUCCCAUAAGGAAAUUUUUUUUUAAGAGAACAAUAAUAAUAUUAGGUUUGUUUCUGAUGCUUUCAAGUAAGAUAAGCAUAACCGCACUCAGGCUUAUUACAAUCUGUUUUCAAAAGAAUAUCGCAUCACAUUAGUGCACUUGUUGACAACUAGAACAUAACACUAAGAAGUUACGUUAAAUGCUCUCGAGAACGAACAUUCGAUUCAGGGCUUUUAGAGAUUGCAAUCAUUACAUGCUUUUAUUUUACUCUCGAUAACAUUACUUAUUCUCAAUAUUAGUUUAAAGAAAUAUAUUUUCACUAUGCCAAAGUGCAUGGUCUUUAUUUAUAAUCUUUAGACUAACUGGUUUACAUUAAUCUUAGUGCUCUUAUACUAUUGAGCUGUACUAAACAGUUCUCUGUUUACUAACAGAUAAAGCUAUUCGUUUUUACUGUUAUAUUUGGGUUUGCUGUAUAUGAUAGAGCAUGUCAAAACAAGUUCUUUUGUUUUGAUGUUGUUUACAUGCAAACGCUUAUCAUAGUGUAUGAGACCUGAAACGAGGGUAGGUCGUUAACUCAUGCCAAUUAUCGAAGCACGCCAAAUAGUCACGUUCUAGUAUAGCCUUCACAGAGCGCGGCGAUUCACUAUUAACACGCAUCCGUCCUUAAGAAAAAAAACUUCAAUUUCUCCUGCAUUGGGCUCAAAUUCCCUGCCUUCGUCGUCUGUUUGCAGCAAAUCUCUACAAUAUUCCUCUUCGUUUUCGUCUCCUCUCCACAUAAUACUCAUGUUUUUCUGAUUUUUAUUGUAGUUUUAUAAUUUACGGAAUACACUGUUAUCUAUCUCUUUCAUACACAAAAUUGAAGAAUGGAACCACCGAAAACCAGUUUUACUAUCCUUAGCAACAUCACAUCUAGCGUUGUGUCAAAUUGAAAAAGACAGAUUAAUUACAUUUCGUGUUGCCACGCCUCCAAGCAUCCUAGAUAAAAAACUCUUUUUGAUUUAUAAUUUUCGUAAAAAUUGGUUCAAUGAGCCAAAUUUCUAUUUAAAUAAUUUUGCAACUAAUGAACGAAAAAUCGAAAAAUCGAUAUGAAAAAUAUGUCAAAUUGACCCGAAGGACGGAUGCGUGUUAAUCUCCUCAAUCGACUCAAAACGGCGUCCUCGAAGUGGUCUCGUGAGUUUUUGGAAGAGCCAGAAGUCACAUGAUGCCAAGUCUGGCGAAUGCGGUGGAGUUUUCUGCGAAAUGGUCACGAAAUAUUAUAUAAGUGCUGUGUGCAUUAUCGUGAUGCAAAAGCCACGAAGGUCGUUUUAGUCGUUUAGUAAACACAAGCGUAACUAAAAUGCCAAUGAUGACAUUAACAUGAUUUCAUAGAUGUCAA
RNA transcript from Ceratitis capitata (Mediterranean fruit fly), 8410 nucleotides. RefSeq lists it as uncharacterized. The record is from RefSeq and is a predicted model, not a curated record. The transcript has 2 exons. NCBI's taxonomy places the organism in Eukaryota, Metazoa, Arthropoda, Insecta, Diptera, Tephritidae.